ACUCAUAUAGUUUAGUUAAAAUAUAAUAUUGAAAUUAUUAAGAGAUUUAAUUGUUUUGGGUA
This 62-nucleotide transfer RNA is filed under the name Wallacidia oculata. Its description in RNAcentral is "tRNA-Phe". The record is from RNAcentral. Lineage: Eukaryota; Metazoa; Arthropoda; Insecta; Hymenoptera; Mutillidae.